This 374-nucleotide ribosomal RNA is filed under the name uncultured Lactobacillus sp. Its description in RNAcentral is "bacterial SSU rRNA". It matches the Rfam family "Bacterial small subunit ribosomal RNA", at positions 173 to 532 of the family's 1533-position model. Lineage: Bacteria; Bacillati; Bacillota; Bacilli; Lactobacillales; Lactobacillaceae. The record is from RNAcentral.
UNNUCUCUAGGNUCGCAUGAUUCUUAUUGAAAGAUGGUUCUGCUAUCGCUUUUAGAUGGACCCGCGGCGUAUUAACUAGUUGGUGGGGUAACGGCCUACCAAGGUGAUGAUACCGUAGCCGAACUGAGAGGUUGAUCGGCCACAUUGGGACUGAGACACGGCCCAAACUCCUACGGGGAGGCAGCAGUAGGGAAUCUUCCACAAUGGGACGCAAGUCUGAUGGAGCAACGCCGCGUGAGUGAAGAAGGUCUUCGGAUCGUAAAACUCUGUUGUUAGAGAAGAACACGAGUGAGAGUAACUGUUCNUUCGAUGACGGUAUCUAACCAGCAAGUCACGGCUAACUACGUGCCAGCAGCCGCGGUAAUUACCAAUAA